Molecule: ribosomal RNA, 440 nt
Filed under: uncultured bacterium
Lineage: Bacteria
Description: partial 16S ribosomal RNA
Rfam family: Bacterial small subunit ribosomal RNA
Source: RNAcentral
CCUACGGGAGGCAGCAGUGGGGGAUAUUGCACAAUGGGGGGAACCCUGAUGCAGCGACGCCGCGUGGGUGAAGAAGCGCCUCGGCGCGUAAAGCCCUGUCAGCAGGGAAGAAAAUGACGGUACCUGAAGAAGAAGCCCCGGCUAACUACGUGCCAGCAGCCGCGGUAAUACGUAGGGGGCAAGCGUUAUCCGGAUUUACUGGGUGGAAAGGGGGCGCAGACGGCGAUGCAAGCCAGGAGUGAAAGCCCGGGGCCCAACCCCGGGACUGCUCUUGGAACUGCGUGGCUGGAGUGCAGGAGGGGCAGGCGGAAGUCCUGGUGGAGCGGUGAAAUGCGUAGAUAUCAGGAGGAACACCGGUGGCGAAGGCGGCCUGCUGGACUGCAACUGACGUUGAGGCCCGAAAGCGUGGGGAGCAAACAGGAUUAGAUACCCGAGUAGUC